UGGGGAAUAUUGGGCAAUGGGCGCAAGCCUGACCCAGCAACGCCGCGUGAAGGAAGAAGGCCCUCGGGUUGUAAACUUCUUUUAUUCGGGACGAAGAAGUGACGGUACCGAAUGAAUAAGCCACGGCUAACUACGUGCCAGCAGCCGCGGUAAUACGUAGGUGGCCAAGCGUUAUCCGGAUUUACUGGGUGUAAAGGGCGUGUAGGCGGGACUGCAAGUCAGAUGUGAAAACCAUGGGCUCAACCCAUGGCCUGCAUUUGAAACUGUAGUUCUUGAGUGAUGGAGAGGCAGGCGGAAUUCCGUGUGCAGCGGUGAAAUGCGUAGAUAUACGGAGGAACACCAGUGGCGAAGGCGGCCUGCUGGACAUUAACUGACGCUGAGGCGCGAAAAGCGUGGGGAGCAAACAGGAUUAGAUACCC
Molecule: ribosomal RNA, 419 nt
Filed under: uncultured bacterium
Lineage: Bacteria
Description: bacterial SSU rRNA
Rfam family: Bacterial small subunit ribosomal RNA
Source: RNAcentral